AUGAACGAGAAGCGUGAUGCGGCGUCAUUCGCCUUGCAAGAAACUUUGCAAUGCAUGAUGACUCGAAAGGGAGCAAGGAAUGAGAGGAAACACCUAGAGAAGAAGGAGCAAAUGAAGGCCUAUAUCGAGAUACAAAAGAAGAAGCUCGAGAUCGAGGAGAGCGUCCAGACGAAUAAGCUUGAAACUGAGGCGACUAAUGCCAAGACCAAAGCAAAAGAGGUGGCCCUCGCUUUCAUGGCGAAGGAGGUGGAGAUCAUGACGGUGGACUUGAGCAAGGUGUCCCCGAGAAGAAGGUCAUGA
This 300-nucleotide ribosomal RNA is filed under the name Triticum aestivum (bread wheat). Its description in RNAcentral is "partial small subunit ribosomal RNA". The record is from RNAcentral. Lineage: Eukaryota; Viridiplantae; Streptophyta; Magnoliopsida; Poales; Poaceae.